RNAcentral lists this unclassified non-coding RNA (1278 nucleotides) under Hevea brasiliensis (rubber tree). The record is from RNAcentral. Lineage: Eukaryota; Viridiplantae; Streptophyta; Magnoliopsida; Malpighiales; Euphorbiaceae.
UACCAAUUCAUUUCAACACAAUACAUUUUUUCAUUGUUCUUAACUCUAUCAAUUGGUCUGACGUGCCAGAUCCAAAAAUCAGAUGGGAAAAUCACAUAGCAAACAUAUAGAGGAACGAGGCAGAGGAAAAGGUCAACCAUGGGGGACAAGAUAUUAUAGCAAUUAGAUAGGAUUGAAGGACUAGUGAGGUAGCUCAUAGCCAUGGAAGGCAGGGGUACCCAACUCAUUCCAAUACCCAACACCCACGACUCACCCAUCGGCAUUGAUAAUUCACAACUCAAAGCAAACAAGAUCAAGCAUCCUAGUUUAAACAAUCAAGAGCUUACUGAAAUGGUACUAAAUGAGCUCAAGUUGGUAGUUAACAAUGUUGAGUUACUGCAACAAUUCGAUGAAGCUAGCUGUUGCAAAUCCGAGGAGAAGCGUGUUGGUGAUGAUCAUAAAGAAUUAGUGAUAAAGAGUGUUCAAGGAUUCGGUUUUAAAUCAAAGCAAGGGAUUGAGUUCUCAGCGAAACACGGCUUGUGUUCUUCCAUGCCAGAAUCGCGCAAAGACUCAAGGGAACGGUCUCCAUUAUUCGACAGACGAAAUUGCUCGAUAAGAUUCACUAGAGAAAGAGAAUGAGUUCUUUUGGCGGUAGAGCAGGCGAGAACUUUACGUCCUCUGUUUGGGAAGUCUGUGUGUGGAACAUGAAAGAUGGUGGUAUUUUUAAAUGAACUUGGUGACAAAGUUUGAUGGAGGUUCAAUCUCCACAACAACGCUAGUGUUGGAGCUCAUUGAUGCUCACGAUAAGGGCAUUUUGAUUGCUGAAUUACAAGAGGAUACGGGGGGGGGGCUUUCUAAUGAAUAUGGCUUGGAUUUUGUGAUAUUGGGAUCACGUGAGGACUUCAAGGCAUAGAUGUGGUUGCAACACACCAAAGGUGCAAAUCACAUGAUGGAAGAGGUAGAGAGUAAACGAGAAUUUCAUCUUCCUAUGCAGGUGGAAGAUUUUUCGCCAUUUGUGUCUGUAGAGAGGUUAAGGAAGAUGAGAAAACAAUGGGUUGGGAUCAAAGGCAAUGGUAAGAGAGACAAGCCCAAGUUCACUAACAGGCCCAAAUCUUGAACUUAGAAUCUUUGGAUCAUUAAAAUUAUUGUACCACUUUGUUAGACCGCCUUAGGAAAAUGCCAGGCCACACUAUUUUCAUGGCCAUAAUAUUUUUCUUAUCUUUGUCUAUAGUAUUCAAUUACUUGAAUGGAUGGAGAAUGAGAUAUUCUUGGUGCUAAGCUUUGAAAUUGAUUUGGUGG